UUUCAGUGCUGCUGACCCCCACAUCUCAUUCUGAAUGGAGCCAUCUACCCCUCCACGGCUGUCAGAAGGGCGGCUUCUUGUACUCCGUUUAAAGAAAACAGGCCCUUGAGAGUCCGCAUUGUCUUAAACCCUGUUCAAGCCUGCGCGUUUAUUGCAAUGCAUUGCUGAUGAGCACGGUGGAGUUGCAGGCAGAGCGACUCCAUCUCGCUCAGUAACACCAGACUCAACUGCCCCCAGCCAUCCUGCUCUGAGCUUGAACAGGCAGAACCACACAGUUGUCCUAAGGAGAAGAGGAGCUCGGGGGGGCAGUACGCAGCAUGUUACUGGAGGGUUAUGACGAGUCAGGUUCAGACGAGAUAAAAUGUGCAG
Long non-coding RNA from Carassius carassius (crucian carp), 369 nucleotides. RefSeq lists it as uncharacterized. The transcript is spliced from 3 exons. The record is from RefSeq and is a predicted model, not a curated record. Lineage: Eukaryota; Metazoa; Chordata; Actinopteri; Cypriniformes; Cyprinidae.